AGGAAACAAAGAGGGAAGAAAAAGUCUCUUGCCUCUUCAGCAGGUGCAGCCUUUUCCCGGACUCCCUCCCGGCUAGCUGUGGCGCACUAACCCCCUGCAGGCUGUGUUCACGCCGCCAACACCAGUCCUCUCCCUGCGCUCCGACCAAACCCCAAGCCUCAGCUCCCAGCCCUGCCCGACACGGCGAGUGAGCCAACAAGCCUCUCAGGCUGAUUUCUCUCCCUUUACACAAGAGGGCGCUGGAGCCCAAGGUACUGCACUCUUGGCUUGGAGAAGAGGAUCCAGGGAAAGGCGGAAAAGCCGUCUGGCUGUGUUCCAGUUGAUGGCACUAGCUCUGCCAGCUGGAGGUUCAGAGAUUGGAAAAUCAGGAUCCAGGUCAUUCAGCAUUAAUGAUGGUACUGGGAAUACUUCUGUCUCUGAAGUCCUGGGCUUCCUUCAAUGAGCUCAUACUGCCUGAGUGGUGUGAUGUGAAUGACCUCCCAAAAGAGAGUGCUGUGAAUAUAUGAUGAACAUAGCUGCCAGAGCUAUUUUGCUAUUACAGGAGUGCCCAGAGCAGUUGGGACACCAACAUUUAGAGGCUGAAGAUGAUGCCAACACCAGGUGUUUCAAGUUUGACUGUCCUUGGACUCAUGUACCUAAACUCCAAUCUCUCCCUUUUCCACAUCAAAACUGAGCAAUCCUGAGUGAGCUUCAAUUACUCAAGAUCCUUCUAAAAGAUUGAAGAAGAUUAAGAGAGAAUGAAUAUUUGGAGGGAAGAUCAUCAAAUCCCCAGUUUUGGGCUGGUUAAAUCAGAGAUACGUAUAAAACAUCUAAAUGGAGAAGCUCUGAAAUGGUGGUUCUGUCCAUGAACGUGGUAAUACUUGUUGAGGACUGAUACCGUGGAAUGGCCAUCAUAUCAGAUGCCAGGCACUACGCUAGAAGACUUCACCUGCUCACAAUGACCCUAAAAAGAGAAAGCUGUCUUGAUAGAAUUGCCUACCCAGCACCACACCAACAGAGCCCACUGAGACAGCCAAGCACCUUGGCCAAAUCCUAGGCUUUGCAGCCUGAAGACCUUGGGUCUUCAUCUGAGCUAGUGACAGAGACAUUGCUGAUAAUCUUUUUAUGAUGAGGAAACUGGGACUCAGAAAGGAGCUUGAAGUGACUGAGCAGGCAUUUGGGAUCCUGGCUCCAUCACAACCACACAGUGUAACACGCAGCACGUUGAAUGUGUCUGGUGCCCUGUUCUCCAGACAGAGAGCCACUUCCUUAUGAACUGAAGCUUUGUGACGGGGAAUGCUAAAGCAGGGAGCAGAAGUGAGGGCUGUGAGAAGUCUCAAAUGACCAGGCCCCCCUGAGGACUCCUGAAUUCUACCUUCUAAGUGGAUAUGUGUGAUUGUGACUUACGUUUUUGACUUGGGCAUUGGUUUUAUUAAAAUAG
This is a long non-coding RNA of Orcinus orca (killer whale), 1420 nucleotides long. RefSeq lists it as uncharacterized. NCBI's taxonomy places the organism in Eukaryota, Metazoa, Chordata, Mammalia, Artiodactyla, Delphinidae. The record is from RefSeq and is a predicted model, not a curated record. The transcript is spliced from 11 exons.